This is an RNA transcript of Anopheles darlingi, 6931 nucleotides long. RefSeq lists it as uncharacterized. NCBI's taxonomy places the organism in Eukaryota, Metazoa, Arthropoda, Insecta, Diptera, Culicidae. The record is from RefSeq and is a predicted model, not a curated record. The transcript is spliced from 8 exons.
CCUUGGCCGAAUACAUCUCAGUGUACAUAGAUUGAAACCGAAGUGUGGCUAAGGAAUUGGUGCAGCAAAACGGAUCUUGCUCCAGACAUUGCUUUUCAUUUUAUGUUGCUGGGUGCUUUAAGGAUAUUGUAUGUGGUCUCCGGGCUUCAACACUCCACGCAGUGCGCUACUCUUCCAACCCUCAAUAAAUCACGGGUUUGCACGCUUUUUUAACUGCCUUCCGGUCCGGCUACGGCCUACUUGCUUGUCGGCGAUGGGAGUUUUCUUUAAACCGCGCCAUCUGCUGUGUUGCAGCAUGUGUUUGUGGGGGUUGCUUCCUUUGGUUGUUGGUACCGGCGCCGGAAUCAGCGGAAGUCGUUCGAUAGCGUCGCGUCCCAUAGUCCCCGUAAGCUCGGCGGGAUCGAAUGAAUCAGGGACCUACACGGACGAUAUGUUGUCGCAGACGUUUGUCGACGUGGGACAGAAUGGUUCAUUGCUGGGCGAACAACUCCUAACAUUGGAAGAGCAACCGUCGCAGCAUCAUCAUCGUUCGUCCAGUGGUCCGUUGCAUGCCACAAGUGGACGGUCUGUACCGUAUGCCUCAUCCAGCAUCAGUGCUAGCCAUGGUCGCCACCACACCGAUCGCCAUAAUGCACGCAGCACCAACGGAACAACUAACGACACGACCUUCCGAGUGCUACUGAGCCCUUCUUCUACGCAAAAGAAGAAUGGAGCGGAGGGACACGAUGGUUUGAGCUCUAGUAGCAGUACCACUACUGCCAAAGCUGAUGUUGAUCACUGGCCAUGGAUGUUCCUUGGUUGGGUCUCCGGACCCGACUGCUUCGCCCACAGCCAGCAUGAGCAUCUGUAUUACCAAAUUGGCCAUGCGCUCUUCCUGAUCGCCUUUCUCGGUCCGAACAGUGUGUAUGGAGUCCUAUGGUUGCGAUGCCUAGCCCUGGCCGGUUGCGUGCUGAUGCUGCUGUGGGGUUGGCUCGUAGUCUGCAGCUUCGAUGUGAUCGGUUGGUUUAGCCUCUUUUUUGCCGUCAACGCGCUGUACGUGAUAGUGUUACUAUGUCGUUUGCGACCGGUCAAGUUUGAUAAGGAAAUCGAAUCGGUGUACGUCGCCCUGUUUGAGCCGCUACGCGUGUCGCGUUACCAGUUCAAGAAGGUACUUAACUGCAUGAAGAUGGUACGCUCGCUCAAGUACCAGGAGAUCUACGCCCUGGAAAAAGUAACCAAAGUCGAUAGCCUAUCGCUUGUGCUGUCGGGCAAACUAGUAGUAUCACAGAAUCUAAAAGCGCUUCAUAUAGUAUUUGCCCGCCAGUUUCUCGAUACACCCGAAUGGUUCGGUGUGCCAACCGACGAUUAUUUUCAGGUAUCCAUAAUGGCAAUGGAAGAGUCCCGGGUGCUUGUUUGGCACCGGGACAAGCUGAAAUUGUCGAUCAUGACCGACCCGUUCCUGCAAACCGUUUUCGAGCACAUCCUGAGUCGGGACGUGGUGAAAAAGUUGUUGCAGGUGACACAGAUAAGCGAGAAAAUGGCUCAGAGCAACAACUGCAUCACAUCGACCGACGACAGCGAUGACAAGCCAAUGCUGGUUGCAAAGAGUAAAAUCUCCGAUAACGCGGGGCACUGCAUCACCGCCGCCAUCAAUCGACAGCUCCAAGGUGAAAGUGCGCCACUACUGUGUGGUUCGCCAGUAGACAACCCAUUGCUGGCGAUCGAAAUGAAAAAAAUGCAUACACCGACGGUGACUAUGGCGAUGAAGGGGAUGAAGGUGGUACCCGUUGGAUAUGAAGCGGCUUUAAUUUUGCGCGAUCCCGAAGGGCUCCGUCGUGGCAAAUGGUUGUAGGCACUCGAAAUUAACCUAUUGUGCACUUGGUGCAUUCAAACGAAAUCGCCUGUAAAUGGAGAGCGGGACCUGUUACGAGAGAGAUUAAAAUGACGUGCAUCUAGUUACUUGACGCGUGCAACACUAUGUGACACGCUACUUCGCGAAUCCCAAAAAUCUAACCUUAUACUAACGAUAAAUAUGCUGUGCGGAUUGUGGAUGCAGCUGCUCUGAUAGUGGAGUGCAGUACUUUAAGAGCUAAAACAAAACAGCGUGCAAAACCUAUGAGGCCAACAUGUAGUCCCUUGCGAGCUGCUUGCCAUUUCAUGAUAGUUAUACGAAUGUUAGCUUUAUUGCGUUUCAGUCCAGUAAGUACAACGUAUAUACGUUUACAGUGUUUCUUGUCUGUGCGCAUAGUUUUCCAUGCGUUUGUAAACAGCGAUGGUUGUCUUAUACCCUCUCACAGGCUGCCAUUUUUUCGUUUGGGAGGCAACAACACAUUGACACGUAUGGAUCACAUACGUAUACGUGUGUGUUUGUGUCCUAUAUUCACUUUCCGUCUUUCUUUUUCCACAUUCUGUUGGAAUUGGGGAGGUACUUUAAGUUUUUCAUGGUUCCAUCCACCGGUAACCGCCAUCAGCGAGCCACAGUGCAAUGUGCCAUACUGCUUAAAAUUCAACAAGCGUUCCUCCUCAUCGUUGUUGUUUUUUUGUCGUUGAAUAUUUGGAAUGGGUGACUGUAAAUGACCGGACCACAUUUGUGCUGUCCAUCUUUUGUUUACCAGUAAUACGUCACUACUAGUUUUAUCUCCUUGUUUAUUUCCGCCUUUACUGCUAUCUGCUGUCUGCUAUAUACUUUGACUACUUCUAUUAUUACUACUAUUACUACCAUUACCGCCACGAAAGCUCUUCCAAGGAUCUCGAAGUACUAUUACUGUGCAGUCGAUCAUAAUGCCUGGCGGCUAGGUCGAAUCGAUGAGAUUGAUCAUGAAACGGCGGUAUAGAGCGGCAUCCUAAAGAGCAUCCUACGGAUUCUAGCGAUGCGGCAUGUUUGAGAACGAUGGCGACGCGAAGGAUGCGAAACAACCCUUUCAACAAGUUAUGUGAUAAUAUUUAUGAAAUGGUGUUAUUUAUAAAACACAAACACGGAACAAGUACACAGAGAAAAUGCAACAAUACAGAUAAAAUGUAAACGUAAUCCCCUCCGCUGGACCCGUGGCAGAAGGGGGGGGGGGGGGGAAUCUAGGAAUAGCUAACAGCACCGUAAAACUCGGAUAUUCAAUUCGCAGCGGUAAUGGAUUUGGUAAUGCAUAAUGCAGUUGCAAGGACCAGCAUACAAAGAGCGCAUGCGGUAUUGUUACGCGAUUAUUUAACAGAAGAUGGAGUACAAUUUCAGGAAUCGAACCGAAACAAAAAAGCGUUUGAGUUGGUAGGCAAUAGAUCCAGGGACAGAUGAAGGGUUCUUAAAGGACAUCCGCCUAUAAUGUAUGCACCCGUCACUGCACAACUGCGUUUUGAGCGGUCGUUGAUGCUUAUGUGCUCGUCCGAAUGUGGUGCGCCCGUUUGCUUUACUAGUCACAUUCCUCGUUGAACCAAUCAGAGGGCAUCAUGGAAUGCUUUCGGCAUAGCUAUUUAUGGAUGUCGUUUCACUAUCGUCAGCUCAUAUUGCUUUCUUGAGUUGGUAGCAGACCAUUCCUGAUUUCUCUUAAGCUGUUUGGACAUUGUUGUCCCUGAGCGAUGCCGUAUUGCAACGAGUUUGCGUGUUGUAUGUGCUCGUUUGUCGGGUGCAAGCUAUUCAGCAACGGAUCUCUAUUUUGGCUUCUCUAAAUGUUCUGACGUUUCAGAAUCAAUGCGUGACCUUUUUGGUUCAAAGUGGCUCCAUUUGGGGAUACACUCCUGAUGUUGCGCGGAAUUAGUACUUCCGAUCACACGAUUAUUCGUGAUUGGGACGUUUAACAAUCUACUACCAUUAUCGUUGCUGUGCUCGUGAAGAUCGUUAUGUCUAGUGUAUUGGCGGUACAAUGGAUUCCUACCAUACAUUGGUCGAUAACCCUGAGAAGGCAUCAGUUUUAUCUUUGGUAUGGACGAACGUUUAUCGAGUUGAUAUUGGAGAAUCUGCCUAACCUUUCAGCAAGAGCCCUAAACCAGAUGAUACCGGAUUUUAGCCGUUGACCUACGGCGAAGUCCGUUCCGAGAAUUCGUUCCUAACCUCAUUGUAGAACAAUCGCUUGCCUUACUAACCAUACAAUUAUUUACAUAUAACAUUAUAUUCUAAGAUACAUUAUGUACAUAAAUAUGAUUUAAGCAUACUUGGCAAAGUAUAACGUUGAUUUCAGUUGACAUUCAGCGUAGUGGUGCAUAGAUGCGAUGAAAAGAUGAUUUUAUUAGUAACUAUAUCUGUAACAUUACGUAUAAGUGUGAACCAUACAAUGCUUCUUUAUGCUGGGUAUGUCUGCGGUGAAGCCUACGAAUCAUUGCUUCCGGCGUUAUGACAAUCGUUCCUUUUCCUUCCCGAUUUUUAAUUAUUCCGUACACAUAUGAGAGGCACCACAGAGGAGCUUUUCUUCCGGAUUUGUUAGAUUUUUUAAGUUGACUCGGCCGAUAAUGGUUUUUAGGUGAUGAUGUUCCGUUUCCUCGCAGAAUCCAAAAUCGGCAGAGCAGUCACCUGGGUGUGUUAGAACGGAGUGGGACCCCACGAGUCAAGCCUUAGUGCAUUGAGCAUGCUGCACACCAGGCAGUGUCUAUGGGGGCAGAAUUUGAAAUCUGUUUUCGAUUUCUACUCCGUUUUACUAGGAUCAAUCUCGCUCGCAAAAGUUACAAGGAAUAAGCAUAACAGUAUAAAAACGAACAAAAGCAACCAUAAGGUAGAUCAAUUAAUCCUCUGGGCAAUAUUGUGACAUAGCGACCAUGUGUCAUAUCGUCUGUACCGUUUCUUCCUUUUCGCUGCAGCAGCGUAAUGCUUGGCAGCGAUUGUAAACUAGACAACGACGUGAGGCAUCUUCCUCCUACCUACCCUCUGGGGAACAGUGCUGGAGGCAGUCGGAUCAAGGUUAAGGUUUUAAUAAGUGAUAAAAUGUAGUAAAUGAGUAAUUCAGAGAUGCAGGUCGUACAGCUCUACCCUUUUCGAGAACCAUCGUCCCUGGGUGGACCAUGUGACAUAGAGAGAAGAGAUGUAAUGUAGAAGAAUCUAGACAAAUCUAGUGAAUGUUAGAGCCCAUCUCCCCUAAGAUAACAGUUUUAUGCAUUAUGUUAAACCAGGGUCUCAAACUUGCAGCCCGCGAAACAAUUUUGUGUAGUCGCGGCCAUAUGCGCGGUGGAUAUCUAUUUUGUGCAUUGUGAUAAGUUUUAUGUAUGGGCCCUAUAAUACAGGUGUUUAUUCCGGUUAGGCGAUUAGAUUAUAUUUUGGUUCCUAUUCCAGUGGGGCGAUAUGUUCAUAUUGUUCAUUCUGGCGACCGAUAUCGCCCAUAGACGACUGCUUGCCCGGCAGUGACAGUAAGCGCCAAAACGCCUCCGGUGUUAGCUAUCCCCUCACUGGAAUAGACACAUCAAUUCAAGUGGAGUCGAGUUAACUCAGCCAAGCGCUCGACUCUCGCUGCGACACAUGAGUGAACAAAAAAAGUUAAUACUAAGGCUCCGCCGCAUGAAGCGUUAAAGCUAGCGGAAAGGCAAAGACUAUGCCAAAUCGUUUAUGCUUACCGUUUACACGCUGUCAUUAAAUGUAUAAGUCCGCAGAGCGUAAAACAGCGUGUAAAAGAUGUUUGCGAACGCUGGUGUUCGCUAUGUGUUCCUUUUUGUGGUUUGUAUCGAUAGUAUGUGUUGGUAGUGAGUUAAUUCAAAUCCUUUCUUCAGCAAAAAUAUCCAAAUUAUGUCGCGAAAGUCGAAAGUGCAAUCUGGUUUGCAAAUCACAAUCCGUAAACCACGUAAACAUAUUCAAGCGUAAACGAUUAGGCAUUACUCGGUCUUCACACACGCCAAAAGUUUUGCAUGCGAUGUGGUAAAACAAAACUCAUUUUUACAGCGGUGGCGUGUUAAACUUAAGGUGCUUAUUUCAGUGAGAUGAUAGCUAACGCCUGAGGCGUUUUGGCGCUUGCUGUCACUAUCUCGCAAGCACUCGCCUAUCGGCGAUAAUGAACAAUACGAACAUAUCGCCUCGAGGCGAUGGCUAUCGCCUCACUGGAAUAAUGCACCUAAGACUUUUUCGAUCACUCAAUAGCUCAAUGGGAGCACCUAUGUCAGUCUUUACCAAAGUUAUGUUUUGUGUGUUUCACUGUAUCGAUGUUGAGCUAAACAGAGCUAUUGUCGAUUGGCUGUGACAACCGUCUCUACAUAUACCAGUAUUUUUUAUGUAUGGACCUUUCCAUGCGAUGUGAAAAUUUCCACUUCGCAUGCAACAUUUUAAGCAUGUGUAGAGAUUGUGUUACCCUCUGUCCACGCUACCAUUUUAAUAGACUAUAUGUGUCUAUUCGUCCGAUUUGAAUUUGAGUACGGCAGCUGAAACUGUGUCUUUUUGGUGUAAAUAAGGGCAGUAUCAUAACGAUAAAGUACCACAUUUCAUCAUAUUUCUUACGCUCACGGUAACCCAUAGAGCUCUAAAAAAAAGGACCAUGUUGAUAUAGAUACAUUAUCUCUAUUGUAAUGGUAGUGUGGACAGAAGAUUACACUUUGCUUUUACGGUAAGUUUUACGCUUCAUCUGGCAUCGAGUACAGAGUGCGAAUGAGAAUACGAGAAAUAUUUCCUGAUAUUAAACCGGAUGCAAUCUGGAUUCACAUUUGAAUCAGACUUUGUUUCAAGAAAGCCUUGUUAACGUUGUUAUAAAGUGAAUAAAAGUGCAGCUGUAACAGAAAAAAUGAUAUGCUCAAUGAUGGAUUGUUUUAAUGAAAUCGCAAAACUUCAACCCCGAUUCCAAGUCGAUUGCAUUCACGAUCGCCUUCAUCGUUCAUGAUAGCAAGCGUCAAAACGGCUCAGGCGUUAACUAUCGUCUCGCUGAGAGAAAUUUCAAUGUAGUCGACUCCACUCGGAUUGUAUUGUAGGGCUCUAUGUUGUAUGUAUGUUAUAUAAAUGUAUGUUAUGUCGUAUAAUAUGUGUGUACUGCUUGGUGAUAGGUGAGUUAUCUGCGGUGUG